Non-coding RNA from Aedes albopictus (Asian tiger mosquito), 58 nucleotides. Lineage: Eukaryota; Metazoa; Arthropoda; Insecta; Diptera; Culicidae. The record is from Rfam.
UAGUCUAGUGGUUGAGGCUACGGAUCGCCAAUCCGGAGAUGGCGGGUUCGAUUCCCGU